RNAcentral lists this ribosomal RNA (484 nucleotides) under uncultured bacterium. Its description in RNAcentral is "partial 16S ribosomal RNA". It matches the Rfam family "Bacterial small subunit ribosomal RNA", at positions 30 to 507 of the family's 1533-position model. The record is from RNAcentral.
AUUGAACGCUGGCGGCAGGCCUAACACAUGCAAGUCGAGCGGAUGAAGGGAGCUUGCUCCUGGAUUCAGCGGCGGACGGGUGAGUAAUGCCUAGGAAUCUGCCUGGUAGUGGGGGCUAACGUCCGGAAACGGGCGCUAAUACCGCAUACGUCCUGAGGGAGAAAGUGGGGGAUCUUCGGACCUCACGCUAUCAGCUGAGCCUAGGUCGGAUUAGCUAGUUGGUGGGGUAAAGGCCUACCAAGGCGACGAUCCGUAACUGGUCUGAGAGGAUGAUCAGUCACACUGGAACUGAGACACGGUCCAGACUCCUACGGGAGGCAGCAGUGGGGAAUAUUGGACAAUGGGCGAAAGCCUGAUGCAGCCAGGCCGCGUGUGUGAAGAAGGUCUUCGGAUUGUAAAGCACUUUAAGUUGGGAGGAAGGACAGUAAGUUAAUACCUGGCUGUUUUGACGUUACCAACAGAAUAAGCACCGGCUAACUUCGUG